AUUUAUUUUCAUCUAACAUUUUUGCUUUUUUUCUGAAUCUUCUAAUAAUAUUUUCGUUUAAAUAGAAUCUAAAAAAUAAUAUUUGAAAUCCUCUAUAUAUUAAAAGAGGGAUGGUUAAUAUUUCAUUCUAUAUUAUUAGGCUACUAUUUGGACUCUUUUGUAUUGUUUCUUUUUUUAUUGGUGCCAACUUAAUUCUACCACUAAAAGUCGAUUUUCUAUUUAUUUAUUUUUCGUCAUUCUUGUUACUCUAGCCAUGGAAAUGGAAACAAACGGAAACUAGACAGAGAAAAUUAUUAUUGUUACUAAUAAUAAAUGAAUUCGUCGCCGUCGAAUAUCAACUCAAUGUUUGUUUUUUGGGAUGUGUAAUCCUCAAAUAUGCCUCACGGCUACAUCAAAGAAGAGAUACUGUGUAGCCUUAGUGUAUUUUAAGCACCAAUGGAUUUCACAGAGUUGUAGCAAUUAUUUGGUGGUCUGAACUCGACAUUACACAAGGCUUCCAAUACAUAUACAGAAUUCCCUUUCCACGAUAGAUUUUUUAAAUACUACUUAUAUGCUUUUUUCGUUUUCAGUUAUUAAAUUAGCUCAAGGUGUUUGAGUAUUUUGGUUGGUUCCAUUAAGGAACCAAAAUACAUUUUUUAUUCAAAUUUCAUUCGGUUCAGGUAGGUUUAAGAAACUGACUCAAUAACUAAGUAGGAUUUGAAAGUUUUCUAAGUAUUUUUCGGUUUAGCUUUAAGAUAUCUGAAAAACCAAACUAUUUUGGGAUAUAUGUAUUAGGAUUUUCUGUUUUUUAUUUGAGUAAUUUUUGUAAAUUCUGUUCAAUUACUCGAAUAUCUUUCGAUUAUCCAGGUAUCUGGAAUAUUCAACUCGAAAAUUUUGGUUCACAUAUUUUACCAAAAGCUAGAGCUAAUUUAAAUCAGCUUUACUAUAUAU
This 930-nucleotide small RNA is filed under the name Arabidopsis thaliana (thale cress). RNAcentral's name for it is "ATSL289190". The record is from RNAcentral. Lineage: Eukaryota; Viridiplantae; Streptophyta; Magnoliopsida; Brassicales; Brassicaceae.